AAUAUUGACUAUACUUAUCAUCGAGUGUUGAUUGCCGAUUAAGAUAAAUAUGGUUAACUACUUAACUCUUUCGCUGUGGUUCCUGUCUGUAUAACACAGAUCACUAUACUGACACUGGUUUGCUGUUUGGUUCAACACUAUGUAUUCGGUCAAUCGCCGACGUCCGUCAGGUGUUUCAAAAUCAGGCGUAAUUUUAUGACAUCCUGUUCAAUACGUCAACGAAGAUUACGUAUUUACGUGUGGAUAAAUGACUGACUGUGGUUAGGU
Long non-coding RNA from Myzus persicae (green peach aphid), 267 nucleotides. RefSeq lists it as uncharacterized. The record is from RefSeq and is a predicted model, not a curated record. The transcript is spliced from 2 exons. NCBI's taxonomy places the organism in Eukaryota, Metazoa, Arthropoda, Insecta, Hemiptera, Aphididae.